Molecule: non-coding RNA, 73 nt
Organism: Gymnothorax javanicus (giant moray)
Lineage: Eukaryota; Metazoa; Chordata; Actinopteri; Anguilliformes; Muraenidae
Source: the annotation of a GenBank genome assembly
GGCACAGUAGUGCAGUGGGUAGCAGUACUGCCUUACAGUAAGAAGGUCUUGGGUUCGAAUCCGGCGUGUGGCC